CCUACGGGUGGCAGCAGUGAGGAAUAUUGGUCAAUGGCCGGAAGGCUGAACCAGCCAUGCCGCGUGAAGGUCAGUGCCCUAUGGGCGUUAAACUUCUUUUGUGCGGGAGCAAUAAUGGUCACGUGUGGCCAGACGAGAGUACCGUACGAAUAAGAAUCGGCUAACUCCGUGCCAGCAGCCGCGGUAAUACGGGGGAUGCAAGCGUUAUCCGGAUUUAUUGGGUUUAAAGGGUGCGUAGGCUGUGAGGUAAGUCAGCGGUGAAAUGCCCCCGCUCAACGGGGUGAAGUGCCAUUGAUACUGCCUGGCUGGAAUGCGGAUGCCGUGGGAGGAAUGUGUGGUGUAGCGGUGAAAUGCAUAGAUAUCACACAGAACACCGAUUGCGAAGGCAUCUCACGAAUCCGCGAUUGACGCUGAUGCACGAAAGCGUGGGUAUCAAACAGGAUUAGAUACCCUAGUAGUC
This 460-nucleotide ribosomal RNA is filed under the name uncultured bacterium. Its description in RNAcentral is "partial 16S ribosomal RNA". It matches the Rfam family "Bacterial small subunit ribosomal RNA", at positions 338 to 795 of the family's 1533-position model. The record is from RNAcentral.